GACGAACGCUGGCGGCGUGCUUAACACAUGCAAGUCGAACGGAAAGGCCCUGCUUUUGUGGGGUGCUCGAGUGGCGAACGGGUGAGUAACACGUGAGUAACCUGCCCUUGACUUUGGGAUAACUUCAGGAAACUGGGGCUAAUACCGGAUAGGAGCUCCUGCUGCAUGGCGGGGGUUGGAAAGUUUCGGCGGUUGGGGAUGGACUCGCGGCUUAUCAGCUUGUUGGUGGGGUAGUGGCAUACCAAGGCUUUGACGGGUAGCCGGCCUGAGAGGGUGACCGGCCACAUUGUGACUGGGAUACGGCCCAGACUCCUACGGGAGGCAGCAGUGGGGAAUAUUGCGCAAUGGGCGGAAGCCUGAUGCAGCAACGCCGCGUGCGGGAUGACGGCCUUCGGGUUGUAACCCGCUUUCGCCUGUGACGAAGCGUGAGUGACGGUAAUGGGUAAAGAAGCACCGGCUAACUACGUG
RNAcentral lists this ribosomal RNA (468 nucleotides) under uncultured bacterium. Its description in RNAcentral is "partial 16S ribosomal RNA". It matches the Rfam family "Bacterial small subunit ribosomal RNA", at positions 28 to 507 of the family's 1533-position model. The record is from RNAcentral.